UACAGAGGGUGCGAGCGUUAAUCGGAAUUACUGGGCGUAAAGCGUGCGUAGACGGUUAUUUAAGUCGGGUGUGAAAGCCCCGGGCUCAACCUGGGAAUUGCAUUCGAGACUAAACAGCUAGGGUACGGUAGAGGGAAGUGGAAUUCCUGGUGUAGCGGUGAAAUGCGCAGAUAUCAGGAGGAACACCAGCGGCGAAGGCGGCGCUCUGGGCCGGUACUGACGCUGAGGAGCGAAAGCGUGGGUAGCAAACAGG
Molecule: ribosomal RNA, 253 nt
Filed under: uncultured bacterium
Lineage: Bacteria
Description: partial 16S ribosomal RNA
Rfam family: Bacterial small subunit ribosomal RNA
Source: RNAcentral